RNAcentral lists this ribosomal RNA (1344 nucleotides) under Triticum aestivum (bread wheat). RNAcentral describes it as "partial small subunit ribosomal RNA". The record is from RNAcentral. Lineage: Eukaryota; Viridiplantae; Streptophyta; Magnoliopsida; Poales; Poaceae.
AUGCCGACGGUAAAUAUCAUGGAGGUCGGCCACGUGGUGGUGCCACAACCGAAGGACUUGGUAGUCAGGCUAUCCGCGCUGGACGCGCCGUGGGUGGCGAACCCGCUAAUCCAGCGCGUGCUCCUCUUCGUCCAUGACGCCGGCGGCCAGCAGCACCCGCCCUUCGAGUCGCUCGUGGGCUCCCUCCGCGCGUCCCUCGUGGCCACGCUCGCGCGGCUCCCCCCGCUCGCCGGGAGGGUCGUCUUCCUACCGUCCACCGGCGAUGCCGCCAUCGACUGCUCCGGCCCCGAGGGAGGCGGCGGCGUGCGGUUCGUGAUCGCGGAGAGCGACGACACGGACGUGCGGCGGCUAGCGGGGGACGCGGACCACGACGUGGACGCGUUCGAGGCGCUCGUCCCGGAGCUCAAGGUGGAGGCGCUCCCCGCGGAGGUGCUGGCCGUGCAGGUCACGCGGCUCAAAGGCGGGGUGGCGGUCGGCGUGGCUCUGCACCACGCCGUGGUCGACGGCCGGUCGGUGUGGAUGUUCCUGCAGGCAUGGGCCGCGGCCUGCCGCGGCGAUGAUGAUGCUGCCGUGGCUACCAUGACGUUUGACCGUGCGGUGGUCGCCAUCCCCGGCGGCGAGGAGCUGGCGAGGAGCACGCUGCGGAAGUAUGCGCCCAAUCUGCCGCUGGCCGCCAACAUGUUCCCUAGCGCCCCAAUUAAACUCCCUCGUCGGACGUUCACCAUCACCACAAAGCACAUCCAACACCUGAAGCAAUGCAUGUCUGGCCAAACGACCUCCGGGAAGCCCGCCACGGCACCCAUGCCAUCCAGCUUUGUGGCUAUCGCAGCGCUCGCCUGGGUGUCCUUCGUCCGUUCCAAGCACCCGACCGCCAUCGCCACCAGGCACAACGUCUACCUCUUCUUCUUCAUCGACUGUCGCGGGCGGCCUGGCAUUGACCCGCCUGUGAGUGAGAACUACUUCGGGACGUGCAUCACCGGGUGCCUCGUCAAGGCCAUGGCACGGGACCUUCUCGCGGUUGACGGUGUCGCAGUUGCCAUGGAGGUGAUUCAGCGGGAGGUGCAGCGAACAGCCGAGGACCCGCUCGGCCUUUGGGACUGGAUGGACAUUGUGUCAUGGGUGCCACUCGACCGGUUGGUGGGCAUCAACGGGUCCACACGGUUCAAGGCAUACGAGGUGACCGACUUCGGUUGGGGUGCACCGAGCAGGACGGAGGUGGUCACCAUGAGCGACGGGCGGGUGGUGCUGGUCGCCGCCAAAAACGGCGGAGUGCAGGCGUCCGUGUGCAUGCACCCGGAUCAUGCACGCUCAUUCAACUCUCACUUUCUUGAUUCUCUAGGUUGA